GGCCCUAUAGUGUAGUGGUUAUCACUCGGGAUUCUGAUUUCUCUACUGAGUGCCUGUUUCCCGAAACCCAGGUUCGAAUCCUGGUAGCACCU
This is a non-coding RNA of Paramarasmius palmivorus, 92 nucleotides long. The record is from the annotation of a GenBank genome assembly. Lineage: Eukaryota; Fungi; Basidiomycota; Agaricomycetes; Agaricales; Marasmiaceae.